RNAcentral lists this ribosomal RNA (879 nucleotides) under Triticum aestivum (bread wheat). Its description in RNAcentral is "partial small subunit ribosomal RNA". The record is from RNAcentral. Lineage: Eukaryota; Viridiplantae; Streptophyta; Magnoliopsida; Poales; Poaceae.
GACGUCGUGCGGGACCUUGUCCGAGACUGCAACGCCACCAUUGUGUGCCUCCAAGAGACUAUGCUCGAACGCGUCGAAGAUAUUCUGAUCGCAAGCAUGAUUGGUCCCUCUUUUACUGCAAACUACCAGGUCCUCCCGGCUGUUGGUUCAAGGGGGGGCAUGAUCAUGGCAGUCUCCGACGCUUACUUCAGGCUUUCAGACUUCCAGCCAACGCAAGGAUCCAUUUCGGCCACCAUCACCAUGCUGGCUGAUGGCCUCGACUCGACCCUGUCACGCGUUUAUGGCCCUCAGGGGGAACAAGAGAAGUUGCUUUUCAUAAACGAGCUCAGGGGGCUGAAGUAUGUUGUGAAGCCUCGGUGGCUCAUUCAUGGUGACUUCAACCUGAUCACCAAAGCGGCUGACGGGAACAACCAAAACAUCAACAACCGCCUCAUUGGCAGUCUCUGUUCCGCGCUAAAUCACCUGCAACUUAAAGAGAUGCGGCUCUCAGGCCGAAAAUUCACAUGGUCCAAUGCUCAAGAGAGCCCGGUGCUAACAAAGAUAGAUCAUUUCUUCCACUCUGAUGAUUGGGAUGAGCUUUUUCCCAAUGCUCACCUUCAAGCCAUCUCUUCAGCCUGCUCGGAUCAUGCCUCGCUGUUCCUCCAAGGGGAUACUAAGGUGCGUCGGCGCCCGUCCUUCAAGUUUGAAGAGUUCUGGCUUCGACUACCAGGUUUCAAGGAAACGGUGGCCACGGCCUGGAAUAAACCAGUACAGUCAACCAACGCAAUCUGCAAGGUUCACAUCAAAUUGGCAUGGACUACAAAGGUUCUCAAGAAAUGGCAAAGAGAUACAGUUGGAGUCCUCAAAACUCAGAUUGAAAUAGCAAAGGAGGUAAUCUAG